Molecule: ribosomal RNA, 501 nt
Filed under: uncultured bacterium
Lineage: Bacteria
Description: bacterial SSU rRNA
Rfam family: Bacterial small subunit ribosomal RNA
Source: RNAcentral
ACUGGCGGCGUGCUUAACACAUGCAAGUCGAACGAAGCAUCUCGCCCGAAGAAAUGGAGUGCUUGCACAAAGUGGAUUCAAUUGAGAUGACUGAGUGGCGGACGGGUGAGUAACGCGUGGGUAACCUGCCCUAUACAGGGGGAUAGCAGUUGGAAACGACUGAUAAUACCGCAUAAGCGCACAGUACCGCAUGGUACAGUGUGAAAAACUCCGGUGGUAUAGGAUGGACCCGCGUCUGAUUAGCUAGUUGGUGAGGUAACGGCUCACCAAGGCGACGAUCAGUAGCCGACCUGAGAGGGUGACCGGCCACAUUGGGACUGAGACACGGCCCAAACUCCUACGGGAGGCAGCAGUGGGGAAUAUUGCACAAUGGGCGAAAGCCUGAUGCAGCGAACCGCCGCGUGAGUGAUGAAGUAUUUCGGUAUGUAAAGCUCUAUCAGCAGGGAAGAUAAUGACGGUACCUGACUAAGAAGCACCGGCUAAAUACGUGCCAGCAGCCGC